RNAcentral lists this ribosomal RNA (254 nucleotides) under uncultured bacterium. RNAcentral describes it as "partial 16S ribosomal RNA". It matches the Rfam family "Bacterial small subunit ribosomal RNA", at positions 524 to 776 of the family's 1533-position model. The record is from RNAcentral.
UACGUAGGUGGCAAGCGUUGUCCGGAUUUAUUGGGUUUAAAGAGCUCGUAGGCGGUUCAGUAAGUCGGGUGUGAAAGCUCCGAGCUCAACUCGGAGAGGCCACCCGAUACUGCUGUGACUUGAGUCCAGUAGAGGAGCGUGGAAUUCCUGGUGUAGCGGUGAAAUGCGCAGAUAUCAGGAGGAACACCGAUGGCGAAGGCAGGUCUCUGGGCCGAUACUGACGCUGAGGAGCGAAAGCGUGGGGAGCGAACAGG